GGUUAAGCGACUAAGCGUACACGGUGGAUGCCCUGGCAGUCAGAGGCGAUGAAGGACGUGCUAAUCUGCGAUAAGCGUCGGUGAGGUGAUAUGAACCGUUAUAACCGGCGAUUUCCGAAUGGGGAAACCCAGUGUGUUUCGACACACUAUCAUUAACUGAAUCCAUAGGUUAAUGAGGCGAACCGGGGGAACUGAAACAUCUAAGUACCCCGAGGAAAAGAAAUCAACCGAGAUUCCCCCAGUAGCGGCGAGCGAACGGGGAGGAGCCCAGAGCCUGAAUCAGUGUGUGUGUUAGUGGAAGCGUCUGGAAAGGCGUGCGAUACAGGGUGACAGCCCCGUACACAAAAAUGCACAUAUUGUGAGCUCGAUGAGUAGGGCGGGACACGUGGUAUCCUGUCUGAAUAUGGGGGGACCAUCCUCCAAGGCUAAAUACUCCUGACUGACCGAUAGUGAACCAGUACCGUGAGGGAAAGGCGAAAAGAACCCCGGCGAGGGGAGUGAAAAAGAACCUGAAACCGUGUACGUACAAGCAGUGGGAGCCUCUUAAUGGGGUGACUGCGUACCUUUUGUAUAAUGGGUCAGCGACUUAUAUUCUGUAGCAAGGUUAACCGAAUAGGGGAGCCGAAGGGAAACCGAGUCUUAACUGGGCGUUAAGUUGCAGGGUAUAGACCCGAAACCCGGUGAUCUAGCCAUGGGCAGGUUGAAGGUUGGGUAACACUAACUGGAGGACCGAACCGACUAAUGUUGAAAAAUUAGCGGAUGACUUGUGGCUGGGGGUGAAAGGCCAAUCAAACCGGGAGAUAGCUGGUUCUCCCCGAAAGCUAUUUAGGUAGCGCCUCGUGAAUUCAUCUCCGGGGGUAGAGCACUGUUUCGGCAAGGGGGUCAUCCCGACUUACCAACCCGAUGCAAACUGCGAAUACCGGAGAAUGUUAUCACGGGAGACACACGGCGGGUGCUAACGUCCGUCGUGAAGAGGGAAACAACCCAGACCGCCAGCUAAGGUCCCAAAGUCAUGGUUAAGUGGGAAACGAUGUGGGAAGGCCCAGACAGCCAGGAUGUUGGCUUAGAAGCAGCCAUCAUUUAAAGAAAGCGUAAUAGCUCACUGGUCGAGUCGGCCUGCGCGGAAGAUGUAACGGGGCUAAACCAUGCACCGAAGCUGCGGCAGCGACACUAUGUGUUGUUGGGUAGGGGAGCGUUCUGUAAGCCUGUGAAGGUGGCCUGUGAGGGUUGCUGGAGGUAUCAGAAGUGCGAAUGCUGACAUAAGUAACGAUAAAGCGGGUGAAAAGCCCGCUCGCCGGAAGACCAAGGGUUCCUGUCCAACGUUAAUCGGGGCAGGGUGAGUC
RNAcentral lists this ribosomal RNA (1343 nucleotides) under Escherichia coli. RNAcentral's name for it is "partial 23S ribosomal RNA". It matches the Rfam family "Bacterial large subunit ribosomal RNA", at positions 1 to 1385 of the family's 2925-position model. Lineage: Bacteria; Pseudomonadati; Pseudomonadota; Gammaproteobacteria; Enterobacterales; Enterobacteriaceae. The record is from RNAcentral.